GUGUGUGUAGCCGAGUGGUAGCAGUGGCCUUUGGGGCGCAAUUGGUCGGGGUUCGAGUCCCAGCGCGCCCC
RNAcentral lists this transfer RNA (71 nucleotides) under Hordeum vulgare. RNAcentral describes it as "tRNA-OTHER". The record is from RNAcentral. Lineage: Eukaryota; Viridiplantae; Streptophyta; Magnoliopsida; Poales; Poaceae.